AUGUAGCGCAGCUUGGUAGCGCGUUUGUUUUGCGUACAAAAUGUUACAUGUUCAAAUUCUGUCAU
This 65-nucleotide transfer RNA is filed under the name Daucus carota subsp. sativus. It matches the Rfam family "tRNA", at positions 5 to 66 of the family's 71-position model. From Rfam's summary of the family: Transfer RNA (tRNA) molecules are approximately 80 nucleotides in length. Lineage: Eukaryota; Viridiplantae; Streptophyta; Magnoliopsida; Apiales; Apiaceae. The record is from Rfam by way of RNAcentral.